GCCGGUGUGGCGGAAUUGGCAGACGCAAGGGACUUAAAAUCCCUCGGUAGCGAUACCGUACCGGUUCGAGCCCGGUCACCGGCACCA
This 87-nucleotide transfer RNA is filed under the name Clostridiales bacterium. Its description in RNAcentral is "tRNA-Leu". It matches the Rfam family "tRNA". Rfam says of the family: Transfer RNA (tRNA) molecules are approximately 80 nucleotides in length. Their secondary structure includes four short double-helical elements and three loops (D, anti-codon, and T loops). Further hydrogen bonds mediate the characteristic L-shaped molecular structure. tRNAs have two regions of fundamental functional importance: the anti-codon, which is responsible for specific mRNA codon recognition, and the 3' end, to which the tRNAs corresponding amino acid is attached (by aminoacyl-tRNA synthetases). tRNAs cope with the degeneracy of the genetic code in two manners: having more than one tRNA (with a specific anti-codon) for a particular amino acid; and 'wobble' base-pairing, i.e. permitting non-standard base-pairing at the 3rd anti-codon position. Lineage: Bacteria; Bacillati; Bacillota; Clostridia; Eubacteriales. The record is from RNAcentral. RNAcentral also lists the same sequence under 2 other names.